CUACGGGCUGCUCCAGUUAAGUAUCUUCUACAAUGCGCGAAAGCGUGAUAGAGCGAGCCAGAGUGUUUCUCAUUUUUGGGAGACUUUUGCCAAAUGUAAAAAGUUUGGCGAAUAAGGACCGGGAAAGACUGGUGCCAGCCGCUGCGGUAAUACCAGCGGUUCGAGUCGCAGCCACAUUUAUUGGGUCUAAAACAUCCGUAGCUUGUUUUGUAAGUCUCUUGUGAAAUCCCAUGUCUCAAAUAUGGGGCGUGCAAGAGAUACUGCAAAGCUAGAGACUGGAAGACGUAAGAAGAACAUGUUGGGUAUCGGUAAAAUGAGUUGAUCCUACAUGGACUAACGACAGCGAAGGCAUCUUACGAGUACAGUUCUGACAGUGAGGGAUGAAGGCUAGGGUCGCAAAACGGAUUAGAUACCCCCGUAGUC
RNAcentral lists this ribosomal RNA (423 nucleotides) under uncultured archaeon. RNAcentral's name for it is "partial 16S ribosomal RNA". It matches the Rfam family "Archaeal small subunit ribosomal RNA", at positions 323 to 746 of the family's 1478-position model. The record is from RNAcentral.